This is a long non-coding RNA of Gopherus evgoodei (Goodes thornscrub tortoise), 1324 nucleotides long. RefSeq lists it as uncharacterized. The transcript has 5 exons. Lineage: Eukaryota; Metazoa; Chordata; Testudines; Testudinidae. The record is from RefSeq and is a predicted model, not a curated record.
UCAAGUUCUACUAACCCUGGGUUUAUAUAACAUUACCUUAGGCUAUGUUUACCCUGCAAUUAGACCCCUGCAGCUGCUUUCUGCCAGCUGACUUGGUCUCCUGGACCUUGAAGGGUCUGUUUAAUUGUGGUGUAGCCAUUCAGAUAGCUGUGGGACCCUCCCACCUCACAAGGUCCUAGAGCUGUGGUUUUUAACCUGGGAUACACGCACUCCCUGAGGGUGCAAGAUGCCCUUUCUGGAGGUGCGAGGCAUGCCAGAUUUUUUUUAGAAAGCAAAUCAUCAAACACAAAUUAAGCACAGGCACAGUGUGCAUGUGACCUUCCUGCAGUCCUGUGCCUGAGAGAUGGCCUCAUGUUUGGGCACAAGCUAGGAAACACAGCUAGCAUCAAUGAAGUGGUGACACAGAAUCUACCCAAAUUGCUGAUAAAUGCAUCAAGUAAACAAACUGGUACUACAGAGGUGCGUGUGAGAUACAAAAUCUGCACAGAUGGAUGGAUCUAUCAUUGCAGGCUACUAGGCAAUGUUUCCUUGGAGCUGCCAAAAGACUGAGGUGCAAAAUUAAGUCUAGGCUUUAAACUGUAAUUCCAUGAAGAGACAACUGUUGAGUGACUGCAUCUAGUGUAAAGUGUGGCUACUGUGGUGAUGAGGCUAUGAAAUACCUCCAUGGAUGAAUGGCCUAGAGAUGAGAACCAUGAAGCAAAUAAAGAGGUGGUUCCAAAUGUUGUGGAAUCCUGUGUGUUAAGCUGAAGCUGAGGAAGUAAUGAUUGAUUACCAGCUCUUCAUGAGUCUGAGUUGUCCUUCACCUUUAACAGAUCUGCAGGACGAAAGAUUGAAGUGAAGCAGAACUACUCACUGGCUGCUCUAAGCAAGUAUACUCUUACCUCAUAAAAACUGUUGUUCUUUCUAAGUGUUGCUCAAGUUCAGUUCAUUUGAAGAACCACAGGUUGGAGUCAUAGUGAUUUGCGCAUUGGGGUGUUUUGUUCUUUUGUUUCUUUUUUGUAAAUCCAUUAUUACUCCAGAAAAUUGUGCCAUGUUAAUCCAUGUUAAUAACUGAGCAAUCCAAACUGGUCAUAGAUGAGCCAUCACAAGUGUAGACAUGUUAGUGUGUUGUCCUAAGUGUUCUGAUAGGUUUCAUUUUUGAUUGGAUUAGUCUUGCUGUUGUGAUUCUGAUUCAUGAUCAAUUUUGAUAUGUUUAGAGGCAAACAAGUGUAUUAAAAUAAGUUUCUGUUUCAGACAUUAAAAGUCCCGUCAGCGGUGCUGCCCAGCUAAGGCAGGCUAGUGCCUACCUGCCCCGACACCACACUGUGCCCUGGAAGCAGCCAGC